UGCUCAGUAACACGUGGACAAUCUGCCCUGAAGAGGAGGAUAAUCCCGGGAAACUGGGGGUAAUACUCCAUAGUUCGUGCUGACUGGAAUGUUAUGCGAACGAAAGAUCCGUCGCUUCAGGAUGAGUCUGCGGCCGAUUAGGUAGUUGUUGGGGUAACGGCCCAACAAGCCUGUCAUCGGUACGGGUUGUGGGAGCAAGAGCCCGGAGAUGGAUUCUGAGACACGAAUCCAGGCCCUACGGGGCGCAGCAGGCGCGAAAACUUUACCAUGCGGGCAACCGUGAUAAGGAAACCCCGAGUGCCAGCACAGGCUGGCUGUCCACCAGUGUAAAUAACUGGUGAAGAAAGGGCCGGGCAAGACCGGUGCCAGCCGCCGCGGUAAUACCGGCGGCUCGAGUGGU
Molecule: ribosomal RNA, 400 nt
Filed under: uncultured archaeon
Lineage: Archaea
Description: bacterial SSU rRNA
Rfam family: Archaeal small subunit ribosomal RNA
Source: RNAcentral